UGUCAUUCUGACUGGAAUAAGAUGAAAUCUUAGAGUAGUUUUGAUUUGCAUUUCUCUAAUUGCUAGAGAUAUUGAACAUUUUUUCAUAUAUUCGUUGAUUGAUUAUAUAUCACCUCUGAGAAGCGUCUAUUCAGUUCCUUGGCCCAUUUAUUGAUUGGGUUAUUUAUUUAUUUAUUUAUUUUGGUUUUUAGCUUUUUGAGUUCUUUAUAUACCCUAGCGAUUAGUCUGUAUCUGAUGUGCAAGUGAUAAAUAUUUGCUCCCAAGCUGCAGGCUCUCUAUUCACCUCAUUGAUUGUUUCUUUUGCUGAGAAGCAGGUUUUUAGUUUGAUUCUAUCCCAUUUAUUAAUUCUUUAAUGCUUGCACUAUGAGAGUCUUAUUCAGGACAUAGGGGCCUAAUCUAAUAUAAUAGAGAUUUGGGCCUACUUUUUUUUAUAUUAGAUGCAGGGUCUCUGGUUCAAUUCCUAGGUCCAUGAUCUGCUUUGAGUUGAGUUUUAUGCAUGGUGAGAGAUAGGGGUUUAAUUUCAUUUUGUUGCACAUGGAUUUCCAGUUUUCCUAGCAUCAUUUGUUGAAGAAGCUAUCUCUUCUCCAGUGUGUGUUUUUGGUGCAUUUGGCUAAUAUAAGAUAACUGUAAUUAUGUGGAUUAGUCUCUGAGUCCUCUAUUCUGUACCAUUGGUCUACCAGUCUAUUUUGGUGACACUACCAAGACAUUUUUGUUACUAUUGCUCUGUGGUAUAGUUUAAGUUCUGGUAUAGUGAUGCCACCUGCUUCACUCUUCUUACCAAGGAUUGCUUUAGCUAUUCAGGGUCUCUAAUUUUUCCAGAUGAAUUACAUGACUG
RNAcentral lists this long non-coding RNA (835 nucleotides) under Marmota monax (woodchuck). Lineage: Eukaryota; Metazoa; Chordata; Mammalia; Rodentia; Sciuridae. The record is from RNAcentral.